RNAcentral lists this long non-coding RNA (1058 nucleotides) under Olea europaea subsp. europaea. The record is from RNAcentral. Lineage: Eukaryota; Viridiplantae; Streptophyta; Magnoliopsida; Lamiales; Oleaceae.
UGCUGAGAAAAAUUUUAAAAAAUAAGUUUAAAAAAUACAACAGAUUAGUGAAUAAUGAACUUAUGAAUCAACAAAGCAGUCGAGUAAAAGACUUUCAACCAUAAAUUAAGACCUAAGAGCCUUAAUGAACAUUACCAAACUAAAUGAGACAUAUACUUUAGUGGAAUUUUAAAUUUUAUCAUCAAUAUGUAAUAUCAGCACAGGUGCAAAUAUAAACCUCAACCACAGGAAUUUAAGCAGGGGAGAGAAUAUUGUAUUUGCUUCUCAGCCAGUUUCCAGAUAUAACAUUCAUGCAUUCACAUAAAAAAAACUUAUGCGUAAUUUCUGUGAUCCUCGCACUAUCGGAAUAUUUGAUAUAUUUAGUCCAUCCAUUUGAUGACAUUUAACAUAUUGUCUCUAGUACUCUAUUUUGUCCAUUUUUUUCCCCUUUGGUGGAAAUGGAUAACCAUUUUUUGAAUAGAUAGAUUAAAGACCAAUGAAUUAUAAGAUUAAUUAACAGGAAUUUAUAAAACUGGCCUAAUCAUAGUUGACAUACUAAUAGGACUUCCUCAUGGCUGAGUCUAUUAUACCAUAAAGUUUUUACAUACAUUACUACUAAACUGUUGUGUUCUAUUAUCGACAAAUAUGUAAGCAUGUGUGAAAUUUGUUUCUUAAAAGAUUCCGCAACUCAGUGCACUUAAUGUAUAUCAUGCAGGCUUGACAUACAUGCGUAACCUUAAGGGUAAAGUCUCCAAUAAUAGAGUAAUACCACGUGUGCAUUACAAAAUAAGGACAAAUUCUGUGAAACUUUUAAUUUCUCUUUACUUCCUAGAAAUUCAUACAGAAAGGUUAUUCCAAAUAACAAAUAGAUACAUGAGAAACAUUUUUAUUAGCUGUAUCGCCACUCAUAUUUUACUUGUGAAUUCCCUUUAUAAUUUCUUAUACAAACAUACACAACAUGCUACCAAAAAAUAAAACAAUAUAAUUAUAAUGAAAACAGGACAGUAUUUUAUUUUCACAUAUACAUAGAAGCAAAACAUAAGAAAGAAUAAGUAUAGUCGUGCUCUAGCCAAUCAAAU